UCUUGAGUACAGUGGAAGUGGGCGGAAUGUUAUCCAUGUAGGCGGUGAAAUGGCAUAGAUAUGAUACAGAACACCGAUAGCGAAAGCAGCCUCCGCUAUACCUGUAACUGACCGCUUCAGGGCACGAAAGGCGGUGGGGAGGCAAACCAGGAUUAGAUUACCCCCUGGUUAGUCCCACGCCCGUAAACGAUGAUCCACUCCGUUGUUGGCGAUACCACAGUCAGCGACUGAAACGAAAGCCAUUAAGUGAUCCCACCUGGGAAGUACGAUCCGCAAGGGUUGAAACUCAAAGGAAUUGACGGGGGCCCGCACAAGUCGGAGGAGCCAUGUGGUUUAAUUCGAUGAUACGCGAGGAACCUUACCUGGGCUUAAAUGUAGGACGACCGUCCCGUGAAAACGGACUUUCCCUUCGGGACGGCUUGCAAGGUGCUGCAUGGUUGUCGUCAGCUCGUGCCGUGAGGUGUCGGGUUAAGUCCCAUAACGAGCGCAACCCCUAUUCUUAGUUGCCAUCAGGUAAUGCUGGGGACUCUAAGAAAACUGCCUACGCAAGUAGUGAGGAAGGUGGGGAUGACGUCAAAUCAGCACGGCCCUUAUGUCCCAGGGCUACACA
Molecule: ribosomal RNA, 610 nt
Filed under: uncultured bacterium
Lineage: Bacteria
Description: bacterial SSU rRNA
Rfam family: Bacterial small subunit ribosomal RNA
Source: RNAcentral